AGACGGGGUUUCACCAUAUUGGUCAGGCUGGUCUUGAACUCCUGCCUUGGCUCCCCACAGUGCUGGGAUUACAGGUGUGAGCCAUUGCGCCCAGCCCAGACUCAUAAGUUUAAUAUUGUUUGUUGAGUUGCUCUUAACCUUUGUGUAAAUCUAUAUUCACCUUGUACUUCUUAAUUAAUAAUGACUCUAAAUAACACUCUAAAUCUGACAUAAUAUUCAGUGCUUUACACUUAGCAAAUUUAAUCCUUGGAGUGGCCAUGUGAAGUGGUAGGUAUUAGUAUCAUCAAAUUUUACAAAUUGGGAAACUGAGAAUAAGAGAGUAUAAAAAUCAAACCGAAGUCUUUCUAGCAUCAAAUCCAUUCACCGUUUAACAUGCUAAAUCUAAUGUGAUUUGUAUUUUAGAAAAAACUUUCAAAUAUUUGAAGAAUAUUAGGGAGAAUCUUUGGAAAACAUUUAGGAAAUUUUCCACCCUCACCUCAAACACUUGAAUACCUAUUAUGUGCUUGAUACUUUCAUAAACAACAAUAAUCACAUUUAAUGUAGUUAACAUUUGUUGAGUGUAAACUAUGUGCUGUACAUGCAUUCAUUGUUUGUGAUUAUAAAAUAUUUCAAAAGUACAGAAAAGUGUAGAAAAUAAAUCUCUAUGUAUCAUUACCAGGCUUUAACAGUUUUUAACAUUGUUAUUUUAGCUUUAUUAAAAAAUCACCCUCAGUUGAAACCCCUGUACAUUCUUCUUUGAUCCCAUUCCUAUCUUAAAAGCUUCCUACCAUCCUUCCCUUGCUACAGAAAUGUAUCUGCUAUCUUGGACUUGGUGGUUAUAUGUUCCACAUGCAUUGUUCAGUUAAUCUUCUCAAAAACCUGAGGCAAAUUCUGAUUAUAUUUUAUAGGUAAAGAAACCGAGGUUUCAGUUUGCUUGCCUGAGGUCAAUAGACACUUGGAAUCAGAACGCGAACCCUCAGGCUCUCUGUCAGCAAAACUUAUGCUCUAACCACUUUUCUAUGCUGCCCUAAUUUUCAUUUUAUGCUACUAGUCCUCACUUUUCUCUCACCCGUGCUUUCGGAAAGAGUCUGUCUAAUGGACAUUGCUAUUCUGAUGUCUAACAAAGCACGUCAACAUGUCUAAAAUAUAGUUAAUCUUUCCUUUCAACCCCCAGGACUUGCCUCUUCCUCCUGUGUUUUAUAUCUCAUUGAAUGAUCCCAUUUUCUAUCUAGUUUCCAAAACUUUUCCCUCUCCUUCAACCUCUAUGUUCAGUCACUAAGUCCUGUUGUUUCUGCCUUAAAAAAAGCUAGGUGUUUGCCUCACUCCUGUAAUCCCAGCAGUUUAGGAGGCUGAGGUGGGUGGAUCACCUGAGGUCGGGAGUUUGAGACCAGCCUGACCAACAUGGUAAAACCCCAUCUCUGCUAAAACUACAAAAAAUUAGCUGGAUGUGGUGGCAGGGAACCUGUCAUCCCAGCUAGUUGGGAGACUGAGGCAGGAGAAUCACUCGAACCCAGGAGGCGGAGAUUGCAAUGUGCCGAGAUUGCACCUCUGCACUCCAGCGUGGGCAACACAGCGAGACUGUCUCAAAAAAAAAAAAGUAUCUCACAGCCAUUUGCUUCCCUCUAUCCCUGUUUAUGUUUCCUUAGCCUAGGCUACUAUCAUCUCCUAAUCAGUCUCAACAGCCUUUUAGCAGUCUCCUAAUCAGUCUCAACAGCCUUUUAAUUUUUACUUAUCUAUUCAUUCAUUUUUGAGACAGCGUCUUGCUCUGUUGCCCAGGCUGGAGUGCAGUGGCACAAUCAUGGCUCACUGCAGUCUUGACCUCCCAGGCUGGGGUGAUUCUCCCAUGUCAGCCUCCAGAGUAGCUGGGACUCCAGGCAUGCACCACCACACUUGGCUAAUUUUUGUAUUUCUUGUAAAGAUGGGAUUUCGACAUGUUGCCCAGGCAGGUCUCGAACUCCUGAGCUCAAGUGAUCUGCCUGCCUCAGCCUCUGAAAGUGCUAGGAUUACAGUCUUGAGCCACUGUUCCUGUCUCUCAUCAGCCUUUGAAAAAAAUUCUCUAUUUUAUUCUUAUUAAACCAGGAUAAUCUUUCUAAAGUUCAGAUUGAUCAUGUUCCUUACCUGUUUAAAACCCUUCAGUGGUUUACCACUGCACUUAGGAUAUAGUCUAAAUUACAAGGCUUAUAAGACACUUCAUUGUCUUGCCCCUAUUUAGCUCUUCAGCCUCGGCCAUUCCCCUGCCAUUAUAUAUACUCCAGUAAUAUUAAACUUCUUUCAGAUUCCAAUUACUUUAAAAAGCCAUGUGUUUUCAUACCUCUAGACCUUCAAUCAUAUUGAACACUCUUCCUCUCCCCUUAUCUCUCCCUUCUUGUAUCAGACUGAUUUCUGUUUACCCUGAGUCUCAGCUAAAAGAUCACGUUUUCUAGGAAGCUUUCCCUGAUUUCUCUUCUCUCCUUCUCCCAAAGUGACUUUAGGUGUUCCUGCUCUGGGAUUUCAUUAUGUAGUUGACCCUUGAACAAAACAGGUUUGAACUGCGUGAGUCUACUUAUACAUGAAUUUUUUCCAACAGAUUGUGGUUGGAAAGUACAGUAUUCCCAGGAUGCAAAACCCAAGUAUUCAGAGAUCCAACUUUUUGUAUAUAUGGGUUCUGUAGAGCUGACUGUGGGACUUGAGUACAGGAUUGUGGGGGUCCUGGAACCAAUCCCCUGCAUAUCCUGAGGGACAACUGUACACUGUACAUUCUUUAUCAUAGUACUCAUUAUACUUAUUAUGAUUGCUUAUGUAAUCUUUAUCUGCUCCCUUCCUUAUCCCCCUUAAACGUUGAGCUCCAUGAGGGCAUACAUGUUGGUAUUACAUUUUUAUUACCUAGAACAAUACUUAGUACAUAAUUGACACAAUAAAUACUUGUUGAGGGACUGAAUGAAAGUGACUAUGAGAUAUUUAGAUGGAAGUUUUGAGUUUGCAAUAGGAAGUAUGUGUUCUGCAUGAUGGGAACCAUGUCUGGGCUCUCUUUUCUUUGGACAAUAAAACAAUUUGUGAGGCAAUACCUACUUGAAAAGGGGGUUUGAGUACCUUGGGAAAAAGUAAUUAUUUGUUAUGAUAUACAUCAUGGAGUUCUGUUUUAUAAAGUUUUUAAUUUUGUAUUUUAUCUCUACUUUUAUAAAAUUAAGAUGUUUAUAAAUUAAUUAAAAAAAAAUUUUUUUUUUGUCUGCAGUCUGAAUCACCAUCUUAUUCUCCUCAGCCUCAGCCAUUUCCACAGAACUCUUCCCAGUCAGCUGCUAUUACUCAGCCUUCAUCUCAGCCAGGAUCCCAACCUAAGCUUGGCCCACCUCAGCAGGGAGCCCAACCUCCCCAUCAGGUCCAGAUGCCACUGUAUAACUUUCCCCAGUCACCACCAGCUCAGUAUUCUCCCAUGCACAAUAUGGGAUUGUUGCCAAUGCACCCUCUCCAGAUCCCUGCCCCGUCCUGGCCCAUCCAUGGCCCAGUGAUCCACUCUGCACCAGGCAGUGCCCCCAGCAAUAUUGGCCUGAAUGAUCCCAGCAUCAUCUUUGCACAGCCUGCUGCCAGACCUGUGGCAAUCCCUAACACGUCUCACGAUGGACACUGGCCCCGUACUGUGGCUCCAAAUUCCCUGGUGAACAAUGGUGCAGUGGGGAAUUCAGAGCCAGGCUUUCGAGGACUGACUCCUCCAAUUCCUUGGGAACAUGCACCGCGUCCCCAUUUCCCCCUUGUCCCAGCUUCGUGGCCUUAUGGUUUGCAUCAAAACUUCAUGCAUCAGGGAAAUGCCCGAUUCCAGCCCAACAAACCUUUCUAUACUCAAGGUACCACUGCUUACAAAUUAGUUAACAGGCUUGGGUGGGUUUUAUUCUGGGAUAGAGAGCCUUAGUGAAGGCCAGGAUCUGGGAGUGAAAAUUCAUGAAUUCAGUAAACAUUUACUGAGAGAUUAUACUGUGUCAGAUGGUGCUAGGUGCUUGUAAAACAAAAUCUCCAUUACUUGAUGCACACUUUAUUAGGAAAGCCAGACAUGUUAAAUAGAAAAGGAGUUUAGAUGAAUCAGUUAACAUUGCCUUAGCAAAUCCAAACAGGAUGUGGAUUUAAGAUUAUUACAUCACAAGAUUUUGACAGUUGAGCUAGAUCUUGAAAGAGAUGCAGGAAUUUUUUUUUUUGCCUAGAGAUGAGAGAGGAGGAGGAGUAUGCUUAGCUGAGAGAUUAAUAUAUGCAGUCACUGAGUUUUGCCUGGCAUAAUGAAGAAGAGGAGAAAAUAUUAGGGCUAGAGGACGGAGGUAUAUGGGAAAGAUGGUGAUAAGGCUAGAGAGGGUAGGCUUAGACCAUAUUAUGGAGUUUGGACUUGGUUUACUGAGCAUUGGGGACCUAAUUAAAGGUUUUUAGUGGAACGAAGACAUAAUCAGAUUUGUUUAGUAAACGUAGGACUUGAAUGACCUUAAAAUUUAUUAUGUUCUGCUGGUGCUAUUGUAGUACUAAUAAUGGCUUUGACUGGGUAAUGAAUAUUACAAAGAAUUCCUAGAAACUUGGAGCAUUUUAUCUAACCUACUUGCCUCAGAGGUAUUUGUUCUUAUAGGCAUUGUCUGAGUCUGGCCUUCAGCUCCUUGUUAACUUAGUUCAGAACACUUGGGUCAGAGUCAGUAUAGUUAAACUAGGAGUUCAAGAAGUUAAAACAGGCACUCAGGAAAUGCUGAUUGAAUGAAAUGAUAACUUAAAGGGGAAGUGCCUGGUAUGGUCUCAGGCUUGUUAUAUUUAAGCCUUCUUAAACCACCCAUAUACUACUGGGGCAUCCCUGUAUUGUAGAGUGGCAGAGCCUUGACUGUGGUUGAGCUCUUCUCUUGAGCAAAGAACUGGGGCUGAAGGAAGUUACUAUUAGUCAUAAGCCCUUUUAGGAGGGAAGAGUCUGCAACUCUUUUCUAGUGGGUUUUUUCCCUUUGAUUCCUCCUCUCCAUCUUUCGUGUCCUCUCCUUUUUUCACAUACAGGUAUUUCCUUCCCUUCUUCAUUUUUCUCCCCACCCUCUCAAAUGUUUUGCAGCAUGCUUUAUCACCUCCUAUUAUAUAAAUAGAAAAAAAGAAAGCUAACUACAAGUUAAUUCUAAGGUGUUGUCAGAUAAACAGGCACAAGCCUUUCAGUUUCCUGUCUGUGUUGUAUCCAACAGACAGAUGUGCCACCCGUCGAUGUAGAGAGCGUUGUCCCCACCCACCAAGAGGAAACGUGUCGGAGUAAUGCGAGUCCAUUUUCUUUCAGCUGGUCUACCGAUGCACAGCAACCAGCCAAUCCUGCUGUCUCAAGGGUAUCCGUACCUCAAUGUCAGUUACAUUCAGCAGAAAAAGUGACAUUUAAUGGAAAGCAAAACAAAUCAGGUCCUGAUUUAAAAUUUUAACACGUUUAGAUAGCUUAUUUAAAUUCUAAGACUGUUUUUACAGACUGUAUUAUUUGUAUAUAAAUAUGAACUAUAGUUUUUACUAGUAUCACCAAAUUGAGUGAUACAAAUUUCAUCUAUUUUAUUACCCUAUUUUUAAGGGAAUUUUAUGUUUUGUUUAACCUUGAUGAAUUGUAUAAAGAGAGAAUUUAAAAAAUUACAUUCUUUAUUUUCUAUUAGCUGUAUUCAUACUUUGGUUGCUUCAGACUUUAUAUAUUGUUCUUAAAAGUUAGGAAAGAAUUUCAUGUGUUUUAAAUUGUCACUUCUAUUCUUUACAGAACCUUGUAGUGCCAAAAACUUUUUAAAAGGUAAAAAAAUAAAAUAAAAUUACAAUAU
RNAcentral lists this small RNA (5738 nucleotides) under Pan troglodytes (chimpanzee). RNAcentral's name for it is "retained intron". The record is from RNAcentral. Lineage: Eukaryota; Metazoa; Chordata; Mammalia; Primates; Hominidae.